CUUGGCAGUUGAGAUUCAGACCUUGACAGUUGUAACCGAUAGACUGGGCUGGGGCAAUGCUGAUGAAAGGCAAAUUCCUGAGAGAAAAAUCACCCAGAUUUUUCAGUGCCUUCUCUAGCUUUCUGGAAGUUGUUAUGAGUGGACCUGACUACCUAGAGAGAGUAAUACAGAAGCUCCCUGCCGAUCACAGCUACCUCAUUACCAUGUUCCUCCAAGAUGGCCGCCCCUGAGGAGAAUCAUCAACUGGGCUUUACGGAAGAGAGAAAUCCAAACGACCAUCAGCAACAAAUGAAAGACUGAAGUUGAAAGUUUCAAGAUUGCCAAGAAUGACGAGUUGGACUUGGUCUAGUUACUUCCACAGCAGCAGGAGGAACAUGUGUGUGACUCAGGAUAACUGGGGAAGCCUUGGCUAGGCUUUCCUCAUGUCAACCUACCACUCAAAGGGAGAAAACCUCCUGAUCAGAGGUGCCCAGAACCCAGGAAAUCCAUAAUUUUUGAAUGCUGGCUGAGGUCUGUGACCUCUGACUGAAUGGUUUCCAAGCUCCGAAUUCCUAGGUGAUGUUUUCAUUUGUUCACAGUUGCUGAAGAAGGGAAAGGCUCUCUGAUUUACGUGUAAGCAAAACAAUCUAAACAGUAGGAUAAAAUCAUGUUGGAAUGGAGUUCUGUGUGGAUGCUCCUUUGAACCAAAUCAGUUCCACAACUGACCCUGUCAGGGACAUAUAAAUUUAGCAUUUUGGUGUGGAUACAGAAGACGAGAUUAACACAGAUCAAGUAACAUGGAAAUAAAAAAGGAGACAAUGCUGGAUGAUACAGGGGCAGCAACAAGAGGAGAAAACCCAAGCAUUGGCAAAUGCCUCAUUAUCCAAAGAACACUGAGGUGUGCAGCAAAACUGUGUUGAAUGAACUGUAGAUGGAAAUUCUCUCCUUCCCACCGAGGAGCCGCUGCAG
RNAcentral lists this long non-coding RNA (948 nucleotides) under Pan troglodytes (chimpanzee). Its description in RNAcentral is "lincRNA". The record is from RNAcentral. Lineage: Eukaryota; Metazoa; Chordata; Mammalia; Primates; Hominidae.